GACGAACGCUGGCGGCGUGCUUAACACAUGCAAGUCGAACGGAAAGGCCCUGCUUUUGUGGGGUGCUCGAGUGGCGAACGGGUGAGUAACACGUGAGUAACCUGCCCUUGACUUUGGGAUAACUUCAGGAAACUGGGGCUAAUACCGGAUAGGAGCUCCUGCUGCAUGGUGGGGGUUGGAAAGUUUCGGCGGUUGGGGAUGGACUCGCGGCUUAUCAGCUUGUUGGUGGGGUAGUGGCUUACCAAGGCUUUGACGGGUAGCCGGCCUGAGAGGGUGACCGGCCACAUGGGGACUGAGAUACGGCCCGGACUCCUACGGGGGGAAGCAGUGGGGAAUAUUGCACAAUGGGCGGAGGCCUAAGGCAGCAACGCCGCGUGCGGGAUGACGGCCUUCGGGUGGUAAACCGCUUUCGCCUGUGACGAAGCGUGAGUGACGGUAAUGGGUAAGAAGCACCGGCUAACUACGUG
Molecule: ribosomal RNA, 467 nt
Filed under: uncultured bacterium
Lineage: Bacteria
Description: partial 16S ribosomal RNA
Rfam family: Bacterial small subunit ribosomal RNA
Source: RNAcentral